CCUACGGGAGACAGCAGUGAGGAAUAUUGGUCAAUGGACGAGAGUCUGAACCAGCCAAGUAGCGUGAAGGAUGACUGCCCUAUGGGUUGUAAACUUCUUUUAUAAAGGAAUAAAACGAGGCACGUGUGCCUUUUUGCAUGUACUUUAUGAAUAAGGAUCGGCUAACUCCGUGCCAGCAGCCGCGGUAAUACGGAGGAUCCGAGCGUUAUCCGGAUUUAGUGGGUUUAAAGGGAGCGUAGAUGGGUUGUUAAGUCAGUUGUGAAAGUUUGCGGCUCAACCGUAAAAUUGCAAUUGAUACUGGCAGUCUUGAGUACAGUUGAGGUAGGCGGAAUUCGUGGUGUAGCGGUGAAAUGCUUAGAUAUCACGAAGAACCCCGAUUGCGAAGGCAGCUUACUAAACUGUGACUGACAUUGAUGCUCGAAAGUGUGGGUAUCAAACAGGAUUAGAUACCCUGGUAGUC
Molecule: ribosomal RNA, 460 nt
Filed under: uncultured bacterium
Lineage: Bacteria
Description: partial 16S ribosomal RNA
Rfam family: Bacterial small subunit ribosomal RNA
Source: RNAcentral